CCCAAACCUUAAACUAGAUUUUUCUUCAUCUCCAUCUCGCAGCCGCCGGUGAGAACUCGUCGCCGAAGCUCCGACGGAAGUCGCAAGCGUGGAUAGAGAACCAAGGUGGUCUGCAAAGAUGAGGAUACAGCCGGAGCCGCCAUACAUUCUCCAAUUGACCGAUUACAAAAAAAUCUCGUAUAGAGGAACACCCACAACCAAACCAAAAAAGAUCUCAGCCGAGAAAACCCAGAUCUGUAGAGGUAGUUGCAGAAGACUACGAAAUCCUUCAUGGCAUGGCAAGGUAGAGAAGAAGAAGGAGCUUUGUUCGUGGUUUGAAGAUCUUGAGCAACAAAGGAAGACAAAAGCCUGCAAAUCAUCUUAAGAACGGAUCUGUGGUUAUAUCCUAGAGUUUUAGAUCUAAGAGAUGACCACAGAUUUGAUCUUCAAUGACCGAAAUCAAAGGCAAAACAAAGAGAAAUCACCACUAGGGGUGAGGAAUCACUAGAAGGAUGAGGAAUCACCACCUAGGUGAAGGAGAUCAAAGCAAAGAUCUAAGCAAAAGGAAGGCCGGAAGAUGAGAGAGUUUGAAGUUUUAACGAGAGAAACAGAAGGUUUACAUUUUUGUUACAGAAUAUUUGGCUCUAAAUUUUUCUUCAUUGCACAUAACUCGUUCAAUCAUUAGUACUGGAGAUAUACGUUUUGAUUCAUUAGUUCAUUACUAUGCUUUAACCCUCAGAACUCAUAGGUUCCCCUAAUUUAAUUUGUUAAUGUUGUUUUUCAAUUUUACUUCUUAUAAUGCUUCAGAAUUCGUUUGUCAUGGAUAGUACUUGCAGCUGAUAUGAUUUUGUGUUAUGGCAGCAACAUGAGAAAAUAGUAAAGGAAGAAGAUCAUGCAGUUGAACAAUGUGAUACUCCUCCAUCCAAGAACGACACCGAAAAGCACGAAAAGGAUAAUUGUGAAGCAGACAAUUUUGAAGGUUCGGAGACUUCUAUCACUAAAUCUGAAGAAACACAGGUGCUCAACCAGGUCGAGCCUCCUGUUGUUGUUGAGGCUGAGAAGGCUGAUCAUGUUCCAGUCCAAAAUGAGGAAGCAGAUCAUGAGUGUCAACCCCUUGAAGCGGUUGAAAAUGUGCCGGAGGGGGAGAAACCAUCAGUUGAAGCAGUUGAAAAGGAGGAGAAAAUAGCAAUUGAAGCAGUUGAGAAGGUGGAGCAGACACAAACUAUUGAAGCAAUUGAGAAUGAAGAAUCAGAGAAGGCACAGACUACUGAAGCAGUAGUUGAAAGUGAACCAGAGAUGACAAAACCUAUUGAAGAUGACAAGAAUAAACCAGUGGAGGAAAUAACAAUUGCAGUGGUUGACAAAGAAGCAGACCAACCACCUGUAGAGAAAGUAGCAAUUGAAGCUGUUGACAAUGAGCCAGAAACCCAAGCUAGUGAAGCAUGUGAGCAAAAAGAAGUGAAGAACAUAGCAAUUGAAGCAGUUGAGAAAGAAUCAGAGAAACAAGCUACUGAAGCUUGUGAGGAUAAAGCAGUGGAGAAAAUAGCAAUUGAAGCAGUUGAGAAAGAAUCAGAGAAGACAGAAGCCCUUGAAGCAGAUGAAAAUAAACAUGAAGAGACACCAACCAUUGAAGAACAGAUAGAUGAGAAGGCAGAAGUUGAAUCUGUUGAGUCUAAUCCAUCAAGUGCAAUAGUCAAGCCUGCUGAAGAAAAUGUUGAGGGUGAGAAGGAGACUACUACUGAUGAGGGAAAGACUGCUUGCGAGUUAACAACGAAUGAGGAAGCUCAAACGGUGGAGAAAGAUGCAGAUGUGGUUGAUAAUGUUAUGGAGGAGACAAUGCAGUGUGAAAAAGAUGCAGAGAAGGAAGAAGAGAGUUUGAAAGAAGCACAAGCAACUAAAGAGAGUGAUGAAAAAACUGAAGAAGCAUCAUUGGAACACGAAGUAGAGAAAACCGGGGAUACUACUAAUGAGCUUAAAGAUGCAACAGAUCAAGUUAUUGAAAAAACAAUAGAGGGGGAGCAGAAGAGUGAUAGAGAUUUAGUUGAGGGAUUAGUCAAAGAAGAUGAGUAUAAGGACAUUAAGGUGAAUGGAGAAGAAGCAAAAAACGAUUCCAAAACUGAUGCGACCCCAACUCUUGAGUCAUGCAAAGAUGGUGAUCAUGAGAUUCAAACAUCGAAAGACCAAGUACAAGAUGUUUCAGCUAAACCAGCACAUAAGCAAUCAGGUAACAAUAUCAUAUCAAAGGUGAAGCAAUCUUUAGUGAAGGUGAAGAAAGCUAUAAUUGGGAAAUCUCCCAGCUCAAAAGUCCUUUCACCAGAAAUCAAAGGAGAUCAAGAAAAUGUGAAAUAGUCUCUAGGUGGCUGAUUGAAUUGGUGUGCCUCAUUUGGUGUACACAGGAGGCCAAGGACCAUGCUUUCUUUUUGUUUGGUGUGGGAUUUUGCAAGAUUUUGUAGUAAUUACUUGUGUUUGUUUUGGGUCAGAACUAUGUGAUUUUUGAAAUGUAAUUACAUUGUACUCUGUAAUGAAUUGUUUUGUUCUUCUAUUUCAUUUUUAAGUUAUAGUCAUUGUUAAUUACAUGAAACUGUAAUAAUAUAUUAUCACCUCAUGAUAUAAAGGAAUUUCAUUUUCUUUGUUAGAAAACAGAAGAAUGAGCAAGCCUGGAAAAGGGAUCCUGCCCCACAUUCCCAGCAAAGGAUGCAACUCACUCAAAUGCCUUCCUAUAUUUGACUGAGAAUGAAAAGUAGCAUCAGAUUAACCUUUCUAUAUAGAUUGGGGAAUUUAGUAAAAGAAUAAAGUAUAAAGGAGACUGAAGAGGUUCUUCAAUACAAUGGGGGCAAUGCCCUUUAUUGGGUUCACAAAUUCUGAGAGAUAGGAAAGAAAGAAGGAACAUGAACACAAUAAAAUAGAAAAUGACCUGUGGGUGAGAAUGGGGGGCAGUACUAAUUACAUGUUGGGAGCUUAGGUUGGUCCUAAUCAACCAGAAUCCAAGGCCAAAGCAAAAACCUAUGGUACCCUGACUACCCUCAAAAUCUCUUAAUUUCAAUGUCUUUUGUUAGCUAAUUAAGCUAGGCUGGAGGAAACGGAAACAUAUAUAGAUCAAAAGGUGACAGUAGCAUAUGUAUAAGGAAUUGAAAUUAAGAAUACAUAUAUGGCAAGCUAGGCUUGAGUUGUACACAAAGUGCACAAGAAGAUCAAUGUCAUUGGAGUAAGAGAAAGACAUGCCAGAAGAGCCACUAGCUAGGGAGGAGGAGGCUGAGCCAGACCGAAGCAACAUUGGGGGAACAACCUUUUCUUUUACCCUUCUGAUUCUAAAAUCUUCUUCUACCUUUCUUGAGGAUCAAGCUUGCCUACUUGUCCCCCCUGUAUUUCUCUUUCAACUUUCUAAGUAUAUAUCCCUACAAAUAAACCCACAAAACUGUAUCAUUUACAUGCCAAUUUCAUCCCAACAUUUUGAGUGGGAGGCAAAUUUGGGGGAUGAACCCACCUCGACCUUGCACCACUGCACGUCUCAGCGAGGCAAAGAAAAAAUUGGAUGCUUCUUCUCCGAAACCCACAUAGUUAAUUUGAAUAAAUGAACAACCUGUUACUAUUGGGGGGAAAUUAUCCAGUCCGAGGUCAGAUCAUAUAUACCUACGACGUAUAAAAAGACUAAAUUGUUGGAAUGUUGGAACAAACCGCAUGAAUAAUAAAGGUGUUUGUCCUGGGACAUUUCAACAUGUCUUGUGCAAUAUGCAUGACGAUUCAAGAUUGACCAAACCAGGAAUGAAUGUUGGGAAGUUACUAGUAAUCCACAUGAUGAUCGGUGAGCCUCCCUUGUUUGGCAAUUCAUCGAAUACUUUAUUUGCAUAUUUUUAAUGAUAAAAGUAAACACAUAAUCAUGUAGGAUAAAACGAAUAAAAUUACAGUUAAACGUUUGCUUUCACAUAACCACAAAUUAUAAACUAAAAUUUUUCAGUUUACACGCGGAAACAAAUUAUAUAAGAGUUCUAUAUUCUCUCAUCGUAUUCAUCAUUAGUUCAAGUCAAGUCAUGGGCACAUCUUGAAGACUAGAGCGAAUGGAAUGAUUAAACUCACAUAACGACAUAGCUAAAGUUUGUAAGUGAUCCUAAAGUGGUAACAAUGAGAUCCAAAUAUGGCAUUUGUAAUUUUUGGCUUCCAAAAACUAAUUAUAAGUCGAUGAAGAAGUCAUGUGUGGUGGUGGGUUGAUACUAAGUAGUAAGGCGUUGGGUGCUGAAAUUAGUUGAUUGCAUGUUUCAUAAAGUUGGGGUCAUGUCUUUGCUUUCGAGAGACGUUGUAGUCUUGGAUUAGUUCUAAAGUCUUUGAAACAAUUUCUUCAAAACACCUCAUCGUCAUCGAACCCUCCUACGACUUUUUAUUAGUUUCAAACCUUAUGUCUAUCUUUGUCUCCCUUCUAUUCCAUUCUUUGCUUUAAUCUCUCCUUCUUUGCUUCCUACGUUUUUCCUCGAUUUUCAAUGGAUAUAGUAAAGUCCCAAUUAAUUUCAUGACACUAUUGCAUGUCUCAUGAUACUAAUGUUUUCAUAUGUGUAAUUCUAGCCAUUUUCACAUACCUGAAACCGGAAUAAUAAUAAUCAUAACGAGUAUGGACAUAGGAAAAACAAUCGACACUUUUUUCUUAAGCCGAGAUUAUUAGAACGCACAUUUUAACCUAGCUACAACACUCAACCCUUGAUGUGUUUUCUUUUUAAUUAUCUCCGGCUUUUCAUAUUUAAUUUCACGAAAAAAUUACUCUCUUCUUAUAUAUAGUUUUUUUUUAAUUAAAUAAAAAAUUAGACGAUAUUAGCUCCUCUUAUAUAUAACUAAUUAUAUAUAAAGAAACACAUAUAUACAUAAACAUUCGACUUAUAACCGUUUUCGACUUACACUCAUGAUGAUUUCAUAAGAGAGUGACUUCACCAAUCCCGUGAGGAGUAUAAACAUUAUUUUUCAACUAGCUUCUCAAAAUCAUUUACCUCGAAUCAUCCCUCUAUUCGAUCAUGGUAAGUUCAUUUUCUCACGUGAGGUAUGUAAUCAAAUGAAAGCGUGUUGCCAACAUGAUACAUGAUUUUAUAUCUUGUCUGAUGGGGUGGUGGGAAAGCAAUCACUUGCUCACUUUACAAACCCCAUAUAUUGUUCAUCCAAUUGAUUAAUCAAAAGUUUAAUACAUACUCAUUUCAGAAAUCUAAUAAGAAUUAAACUUAGGGUUCAGAAUAUGACUAUGAGGGAGAAAUGUGAAGGGACAAGGAAUGUGCAUGGCUGAAGGUUGUCCUGGUUUGCUGGUUAAGCUUAGUUUUAUUUAAAGACCUGUGUAGGCUAAUGUGACCAUCUUUGCUUUGUGAUUUGAUCCCUAUUGAGCUCAUUUUCUGUAACAAACAUAAAGCCUAUUGAGUUGUUUAGUCUUAAAAAGACAAUUAAGAAAAAAAGAGAGAAAAAAGAGAGCCAAGGCAGAUCAUCUGCCCUCCAAAGAAGAGAAUGUGAACUUUAGUAUCUGCUUCUUUGUCUCCACUAGCCAACUCUCCCUAACUUCCUCAUCUUCCCUCCAUGAAUUGUUUAAUUAUCAAAAAAGUUGUCAAAAUUAAAAGUUGUUUUGGUAAUCAAGUUCCUAAGUUUGUUGGACCCUGUGUGUUUAGAACUAUAUAUUAAGGAGUCUGGAAACUGGUUUAACAUAUGCUAAACACAAUUAUCAUUGAACAGAGCAGACUAACACGUACACUAACAUAAUUACUUAGUACACCAUUCUCAGUAAUCUAAUAUAUUGGGGUAUCAGAAGUUCUGGACCAUUGUUGUAUAUAUGUGUUUUCUUUGGUUUAUUUCCUUGAAUUUGCAAUCAUCAUCAGUUUCUUUAACUAUUGAAAUAUGCUAGUUAGCUAGCAAACAAUCAAAUCUUAAUCUAGAAAGAAAAUUGAUAAUACAUUGGUCAUGCCCUUCUGCUCUUGUCGUUUUCAUGGAUGCAAAUGCAAUGGAUUGUCCUUGACUAUUAUUAAGCAAAAAUAAAUAAAUAAAAUGAAUUCAGCUACAUGGAAGCUUAUGAUUUAAUUAACAAUUCGUGGUUACAUCUGAUGUCAUUCACUUUGUAGAGUCGAAACUCAAAACCAUACAACGUGAGAGUUCAAUUGGUCAACAUUUCUCAAAAACCCUAAAUCCUAAACAGCAAAAAGCAAACCAAGUAUAUGACAUAAACUUGACUUCUAGAUUUGUACAAUUUCGAAAAUCAUCUAUCUAAUGAAUCUGAUUUGUUAACUCGUCAAAUUAUUACAUAUAAAUAUGAUGAGAUUAUAAGAAUGUAGAUUUCGACCCUAAAAUCCUCUUCUAAACAAUUGUCAUACUAAUACAUACGACUACAAUAAUGUAUAUCGAAUUAUCAUUCAAUACGAUAGAGAGAGGAGGACUCAAAAAAACAAAAGAAAGAAUAGUACUAAAAAAGAAUUUAAAAAAAGAAAAAGAAAGAAGAAGAAAAAAAAGUGGACAUGUGGACCAACCCGGGUAACAAAUCGGUUGUCAAAUUGACUUAGAGUCUUCUUCCUCUGUUGUUGAAGGAAUGAGUUGCUCAGUUGUGUGUAUAUAUUAGUCAUGUAGAGACUGUAGAGUAUUAUAUUUCUCUCAGGGUUUCCUGGCCUGAGUUAUCGGCUUAUUUUCAUCCCAUUUUAACACAUCCUAUAUCUUCACUCUCAAGUCUCACAAUAUCCUCUGAUCUGAGUACAAAAAUGGGAUUAAGGGCUGCUGCACAUUCAUCAUCUUCUUCCAUAGACAGCAGCAACCAUCCUGAUCUUGAUGGUCUUCUGAUUCCUAAGCCUUCCGGGUCGUCGUCUUCUUCCUCUCUCUCUCACAAAAUCAAAAUCUUCAAUGGUGGUACUAAUUCUCGUAACAGUCGCAGAAGCAGUCAUACCAGAACAGAUUUGAGCACUGAUCUCAGACUUGGCCUCAGCAUCUCACCUUAUCAUCACUCUGACUUGUCUUCCACUACUUCAAGCCCAAGGUAUGUGUUUCUAGGCUUGUAGCUCUAUUACUCUGUUAUUCCCAAAUGGAUAUUGCUUAGUGUUGUUGGCUAAUAAAUCCUCUGUAUUGUUCUGUUCAAAAUUCUUCUUCAGGGAAGAAGCAUUGUUAAGCUGGCCGCCGAUCAAAUCGAUCUUGAGGUGCACACUUUCAGGCAAAGCAGAGAAUUUCCAUCAUCAAAAUUCUUCUCUAUUUGUGAAGGUGUACAUGGAGGGAAUCCCAAUUGGUAGAAAAUUAAAUCUGUUUGCUCAUGAUGGUUAUGAUGCUUUGAUCACAUCUCUGAGCCUCAUGUUCAAGACCACCAUUCUUUGUAAGUUGACACAAACACAUCUUGUUAUAUAGGAACUCGAAUUUUUGGAUCAAAAAUAAUAUUUGGGUUAAUAUUAAUUUCUCUUUCUUGCUUUUUGGUUAAAUGCAGGUCCUGAUAAUAAUCAUGUUCAUUCAGAGAAAUAUCAUGUCUUAACGUAUGAAGAUCAAGAAGGGGAUUGGAUGCUAGUGGGUGAUGUGCCUUGGGAGUAAGCACCUAAAACCCAACUCUAAUUCUUUUACCUAGUUCAUAAAUUUUCAAAGGCUAGCGACUUUCUGCAUCAAUUUUAGCAUUAUCCAAUUUGGAGUGCAGAAAUUAAUCGCCUUCCUUUCCUAAAUAACACAAAUUGUGUUUUUAAAAUGUGGUUCACCUAGCAUUUCUCUAACACAUACUGUGUCUCUAAUUUUAUUUCUUGAAACAGGAUAUUCUUGACUACGGUGAAAAGACUGAAGAUCACUAGAGCAGACAGAUGUUAGCUACAUUAUAUUGAUUUGUUCAUCUUUACUUACUAUCAGACUCAGAGUUGUCUGCCCUAAUCCAGUUUUUGCCUUAUUGGUGGUUCAAACUUCAUACUCAAACACUGUGUACAGCAUUAAUAUCAUAACAGAGAUUAUACUUGUUUCCCUCUUUCUGGGUUUUUCUUUUUCCCCCAUCAAAACCAAUCAUUGCAGGGUAGGCAAGGUUGUUACAAAGGGGCCAUACAAGGGCUUCAUUUUUUUCAUUUUUCUUCUGUGUUCCUUUCGCAUUGUUAGGUGAGAGAUCGAUGUUGUCACUACAAGAAAGAUUGCUGCCAUUGAAAUCUCUGUUAUAAUUCGGAAACUAUGAUCGCUCUUCAUCAAGAAAGGACUUGGUACACGUGUUUUCUUGUCUCCCAUGGGAGCUUUAGACGUGCACACCAUCCAAAAGGAUUUCGAUUCAUUCAAACUUGGACAAUAACAUUGAUCAUGUAUACUUGAUCUGUAAUCAUAAUGUAGAGGACUGCGUGAAUAUAUACAAUGAAUUUGAUCGCCCAAUUUCUUGAAACGUGGGGGUGGCUGUGGUGGUGUCUUGAAAGGCAAGAUGAAUAGCUGUGCUUCAUCAUACGUAAACUUGGAAGAGCAUAGGUGUUACUUAUUAUUUCUAGUAAUUUUUGGCAGGCCAUUUUGAUUAGUGCUGAAUAGAAGAGGAAUCUUAGUAGGUAAACCAACCACUAAAGUUGUGAUUAGUGCAAAAAUGGAAAAUGGUGCAUUGCCAUUUCCUAUUUGAAUGUUUUGCAUGACUACAAGUUUGAAUUGAAAUUAAGGUUUAGCUACCAAGUUUAGCCUCCACAUCAAUGAUGUAUAGUGGUGAGUGUCACUGUUAGGUAUCUGAUCACUAUAGGAAUAGGAACCUCUUGGGGUAUUUUCUUUUUUCUUUUUUUAGGAGUGAACUUCACACUCUACUAAAGUUUCAAGUACAAUUUAGCCUCUUCUUUUUCUGGUUGUGCUUUCUUUAUUUGUUAUAAUCCAGAUUCUUACUCCAUCUCUUUGUGUCUCUCACCAAGUCACCAUCUUGGGAGGAAGAGAUGCAGAUAGCCAAUACCAAAAAAUUAAGUGUUGGGUCGUAGACUUGUUAGUGAGUCAGAUAUCACUUUUAUCGAUCUAAACUUGGAUCAAACCGAUUAUAGAUAAAAAAAUUUAAUCUUGGUACGUGGGUAAACUAGCUUGAAAAAUCAACUAACUACUCGAAACACAUUAUAAGAGAUAAGAGACCUUAAUGAACUAAAAGAAAAAACUUAUCUAAUUAUGGCUGGUCAGUUAGAACGACAUUUGUUCAGAAAAAUAAUAAACAAAUAAACUAAAUACUGAAAAAAGCCUCAUGUUAUAUCCUUCUUAAAUUGUAAUUAAAUUUUUUUUAAAUAAACACGUGUCUAUUUGUUAUUGGCUUUGGUUAGCUUGACAUGGUCAGGCAAGUCUGGCGCCUGAACUAAAACAUAUUACAUAUUCCAACGUUCAUGAUCACUUACAUCUAGAGCAUAGGCUGCUAGUUGAUGUGCUACACGAGUACAAUAACAAGGUUUAUAAUGUCAAACAAACAUGGAUAAAGACUUUACUAAUUUACUUAGUAGCUGGGUGCCAGGUGCCCAUUUGGGACCAAACUAGAUUUCCCUUCUUAAGCAUCAUAUUCUAAAAAGAUAGAAUAGAGUUUCACUCAUAUGUCAAUUUAAACGCCGACGAGAUUACAACAAUCUCAACAUACAUAAGAGAGAUAAUGCUAGACACAUCUUGUAACACAAAGAAUAAUUCCAGCCUGCAAAACAAAAAAAAUACCAUCUACAUGACUACAUUCAUGUUGAGGAACCAACAAAAAGAGGAGACAUGGUUAACAAACAAAUUUGUAUUAGAAAAAAAAAAGGAUUAUUUAGUGAGGGAUUGUCAAACUAAAUUCAUGAGUUUGAACCAAAGUGUUAGUAUAGACUUAGUUCAACCACAGUUUGAUCCUCACUAUCAGUAGUCUUGUGUAGCGGUCGAGCCAUAUGUGAAUCUCUUGUAAAAAUCUAUACUUGGAGGCUAUGAAGACAGGUUUGUGUCAUAUGUUCAAUUCUUUGUAGUUGUGGUUAUAGAUCUCCUAUUUUACGAAGGUUUAAGAUAGCAUUCCUUUCUCCUAAUUGUUUUUUUUUUUCUAACCAAAAAAAAGAAAAAGAAAAUAAUCACUAUAAGGGCCGAUCCAAAUCAAUGAGGGCACCCAAUACCCACAAUAUCCAAAAUAGAUCCGCUCAUAAAAGCGCCAGCCGCGUAGGAAGAAGAAGAAAAAAUUCAAACUUUGCUCUCAAACCAUGAAAGGCCACGCUCCCAAAGGCACUGUCAAGAAGUUCAGAAUGUAAGCUUCUUCUUCUUCUUGUUCUAUCCCUCUAUUCGUUUCGGUCCUUUAAUUCUUGGUCACAAUUCGCAGGCCCACUUCCCAGAAUCUAGUCCCAAUUCGCGUCGAUUUCGAAGUCGAAGGCCAGAGGUUCAAAGACACCUUCACUUGGAACCCAUCUGGUAAAAAUUAUAAAGUUUCAUUCUUUAUCUGCUGUUCUUCAUCUUUGUGUUUUUUAAAGUUUUGGGUGUGGAGAAUUUGUUGAGUUUAUGAUGAUUGGCGACAGACCAUGAUAGCGAGAUUGUCAAGUUUGCGAAAGCAACAGUUAAAGACUUGAAGCUGUCUUCCAAUUACGAGAAAGCCAUUGUUAAUUCCAUUCAGGUUUGGUAUUGGUUCAAUUCUUUUAAAUUGUGUCAAUUUAAGUUUGUAGUGGUAAUAAUAAUGGAUUGAUUAUGACUAUGGUAUGUGGUAUCAGAGCCAAAUUGAGAUUUUCCGAUCGUUCCAAGGCCAAGAUAUGUACACCGGCGAGAGGAUUGUUCCGAUUAAGGUCACUCUUAUCAUAUUUUAGAUUAUGUAGAAUUUGUUACUGCAGUGGAAAGUUGCUAAAUUUUGAUGCUUUUGGGUUUAGUAGCGAAUUAUGAUGAUGUUUUGUUCUCAGCUUGAUCUUCGUGUGAACCAUACUCUCAUCAGGGACCAGUUUUUAUGGGUAAAGCUUCAACAAUUUCUUGUUUCUUCAUAGCAUUAGAAUACCUCUUGUUGUUGGCUUGAGUUUCAGAUGUAUUUUGGUUGGUUUCAGGACUUGAACAACUUUGAAAGUGAUCCGGAGGAGUUUGCUAAAACCUUGUGUGCAGAUUUAGGUGUUCAUGACCCUGAAGUUGGUGUAAGUCCUUGCAUUCUUUAUCAUUUUUCGUAUAACAAAGGUAAUUUUUUUCAUUAGUAAGUGCAAGGCAUUGUGAUUAAGACUUAAGGUUUGUGUUAAAGUUGGAACCUUGAUCACUUUCAGUGUGCUAAAAGAAGUAAUUCUCUUAUUGCAGCCUGCAAUUGCUUUUGCUAUUAGAGAACAGCUGUAUGAGGUUAGAUUUUAUUGCUUCUUUUGUACCUCACAUGAGGUACAUAGUAUGUUCAAAUAAUCUAAUUGUAGUCGCAGUUCAGUUAUUUUUGUAUUUCAUAUUGUAGAUUGCAGUCCAAAAUGUAGCUUCAGCAAGAGAAAGCAGACUAGCCAAGAAAGGGCGUCGAGGGGGUGAUCAUACUCCACUCAGGUAUGUGAUGAUCUUUUUGGUUUUUGUUUGUUUUUUUAAGAACACAUUUUCUUUUCUCCUCCUGGAUGACAAUUUAUUUUACGCCAUUAAUAGGGAAUAUACACUGUAACACUUACGUGAUGAUACAUUUUUCAUUAUCUCUUUCUCAGUAAAGCAAGUAGUACCGGAUUGGACCUGGUCAAGUCAUUUGGUCACAAAUCUACUGUCAUUCGGUAUGUCAUCUCACUCCACUAAGUUUUAGAAAUUUAUUUGCUUGUGAAGUCGGAAAGUUCCAUUAUCUUUUUGUUAAUGAAACUGAAUAUACACUAUUUGUCCGUUCGUGGGAGUGUUUAUGGUUCCUGUGCUAUUUACAUUUAAAAUACCUUUUCAUUCAAUAAGCUUGCGCUUCCAGUUGCAAAUAUAAUGUCUUCAUUACAGAUACCUGUCUAAAGGCCUUUGGAAGACCACAACAAUGUACUUUGUGUACUUCUCUUUGGCCAUUAGAUCGGCCAGGGCUAGCUAUACUAUUGAAGCUACUGUCUCUGUCUUGAACGAACAGUUUCUGUUUUAUCAUAAAUAUAUGAAAUGGUGAUGCUAGAUUAUUAUCGACUGGGAUAUAAUACGGCCAAACUAUCUGGAACAGAAGGCUGAAAGAUAUAAUAGCAUGAUAUAUGCACUCACAAUCAUGUUUGUGCCAUUUACAGACUUUCUUCACACAGCUUAUUUUGUAUGAAUUGUUCCACUUAAAGAAAGAAAAUGCUUGAUGAAAGGCAGUGGGCCUGUAUUUUGAACCUCCAAAGUGAUUCAUUUUAAUGAAUAAAUAAAUGAUUGAACCACCUGAGUAUAGAAGUACCCAUAACACUGGAAAAAGCAAAACCUUUAUGGUCAUGCUUUAGAGUUUAGCCUUCAUAGCUAGUGAAAAAACCAUGGUGAAUACUUUGUUUGGCACGGCUAUUUACACCUAGGAAGAUAUGUAAUAGAUAUUCAAUUCCUACAUGCCUCUUCAAAACCAUCCCAAGUAGAUUGAUAGUGCAGGGUUGAGCUUAAUUGCGAAACCAACUUUAUGACUACUUUUCCCAUCGAGUCGUUUGCGUGUUUUUCCCUGCCAGAAUUUCCACAUCUUUUUUUAAGCCAUAUCCAUCUGAUUGUUAUAGUUGAUUCAGUUGCUUAUGUUUAACACUUGUAGAUAAGAAUUGGCAAUUAACAAAAAUUUACUGAUAGUGGUUUUCCCAAAUGUAUCAGGAAAAGAAAGGAGUGGGAUGUGUAUGAACCCAUUGUUGAUCUUCUAUCUAGUGAGGAAGUUGAUGCUCUCGAAGCAAAAGAAGAAAGGAAUGCUCGGUAAACUGAUAAAGUUGAGGGGUAAGGUUUUAUGUCCAACCCACCCACCCCUCCCCCCCCCCCCCUCCUCUUGUUUGUACUUCUAGUUAUUUUUCUUUCCCAAGUUGGUAAGGUGCUUAUUUUCACCCCUUCCUUUGUAUUUUUAGUGAUUUUCUCUUCUUAGAGGGGUGGGGUGUAUGCUCCUCCGACUAGGUGUACUAUCUGUACUACUUUUGUCAAUUAAUAAAAUGGCCCUCGCUCUGUUGAGUUGAGGUUUUGCUAAACAAAGAAAUAGCUGUGAGGAAAAUUUAAUAGUUGUGUAUGCAUGUUGAAUAGCUUGGAGUCUCACUGUUGAAAUGUCAUGCACCUAUAAUCGACUGGCUAAGAGUCUGAAUUCUCUGACUAGUGAAACUUUGCCGUCUUUUUGACACCAAGUUUAGUUCUUCUAAUUCACUGUAGAAAUGCCCUUGGUAGAAAAUGUCAUUCAGAAUCAUGCAUAAGAUAGAUUAUUUCUCUACAUAUGUAAAACUGUAUCCUUUCCAGUAUAGUGUUCUUGCUAAGUUUAACUCCAAAAAAAUGCACUUGCUUCUUUGAGUGAAAAUUUUGCUGUCAUUUGAAACCAAGUCUGGGUCUUUUAGUUCAUUAUACAAGGUCUGCCAAGUUCCCUUGAAAGAAAAUAUCCCUUGAACUGUGUAUAAGGAAGAUUAUCUCCCAGCAUUUUACAUAUGCAACUGUAUCCUUGCCAGUAUAGUUCACAUUCCGAUUUUUAUCUCCACAAAAGGCACUUGCUUUUCCUAUUGGUCACUCAUUUCCAAUCUUGGAUUCUUUUCAUAUCAUCUUCAUUUGUCUACUUACAAUAAGUCAUUGAUAGUAUUGGACCAGUAUUGAAGGUGGUGACAAUCCAAAUCUAGUCAUGCAUGGAUAUGGGUCAUGGAGCCUGCCCAUAACUCUGUUUUUUUUUUCCUUGCUUUUGACUUCUAAAAUUGAACCUAUAAAUAAUUCUCUGCAAUUUGAGUCCAUUUGUGUGACCUCGUAAAAAGGCACCGACUGUGAGUGAUUGGUUCCAAAAGGAUCAAAUGUUGUGACUUCACAACUUGGAGGACGGUAUUCUGUACUCAAUGUACUUUUAAUAUAUAGAUCCCAGCUGCAUUAUUGUUCUAGCUCCAUUAUUUGCUUUGGACAAGCUAUAGAUGUACUCUCUGCUGUUUGCUUUUAAAAAAUAUGUUUCAGUUUCAGUGCGAUUGCAUGGCAAAUGGUUUUGUGAAAAGGUUUUCAUGACUCAUCUCUUCAUACAUGACUCAUCUUCUUCAUGAUCUUUUUCUUAUUCUCUCCACCAUCUCUACCUGUUAUCCAAAACUUAACAAUGCUUCAAAAUCCUCUGUAUUAAUGCAUAUUAGACCAUUAUGGACUUUCAUAAACUUCCUGAUAUUGAAUUUGAAUCAUCAAAAUGAAAUUCUACACACUCAUAUUUUACGACUUAUUUGUAUGUAAAGUUGUUUGUACGAUAUUUAGAGAUUUCCUCAUACCUCAUAAUAGAAAGGUAUUAUACUUGUACAAGUAAAAGCUAGUCUGUAGUAAUCAUUUGGUACACAAUGUAGUGUCUUGUCUCAAAACUAAAAUCCAAGGCGUUUCAUUCGAUUUUUAAUGCUAAACUGUUCUCUUCUCAAGAAAAUUUUUGCAAAGUGUUAUGCAUCUUGAUAUUCAGAUAAUUAGUGGGGUACAAGGAAGAGGAAGAAGUAGAAGAACUACAUUGAGAAGAAAAAUUUGAAAACCUUCCUAGUCAUUUAGACAUGUCUCUUCACCUAAACAAUCUGCAAUGUGCACCAUAUUUACAUGUUUGGCAUUAUGAGUUGACAAGACAUUUUUAUGAAUCAAACUAACUUAUGAAUGAUUGGUUCUCUAGCAGCUAGAUGAAGCACAUCAUAUUUAAUAGAAAACUAAUAUGUCUGAUUUUUUAUUACACAGCUUAAAAAAGUAGUUGGGAACUUUGUGAUAUUUUUAUGGUGGUAAAAGAAAUCAUUUGAGGACCAGAAAGAAGAGAAAGAGAUAAAGAGAUAAGGUGAAACCAGAAAACUGAAACAGGCAGAUGAGUGAGAACAAUCCUUCUAAAUUCCCAUUAAUAAUCUCACUGUAAUCUUUCAUUUAAUCACAGGGAUUCCCUAUUUUUGGACAAUUACAAUCUAAAAAACUUCCAGGCAAUGGGGGCAAUAUCACAAUCACUCCUCACAAACCCUUCUUUAGUUCUGUGUGCUCUCUUUUCCCUCAGUUGGGUUCCUUCUUGCCACCACAGUUUUUGAAGCACAAGAUCAUCAUCCCAACACAAAUCACUAUCUACAAGUAACACUUGCACACUCACCAGUGUGAUAUGCAAGCAAAACUAUGAUGACCCAAUUGGCAUACACAGAAAUACAUGCCAAUUGCUGAAGUGGAUCUUCUCUUUUUUGGGUAAUUUUCUUUUUUUGGGGGUAACUAGAAUACUAGAUAGAUACUAGGCUAAACUGGGUGAUAGCUUAGCUCCUAUUUUAUGUUAAGAAGUGAUGUUGCAGGCUGAGGAGUUGGACUUGUCCAGAAUAGACCACAUGACCUGAACAUCUUCAUAACCACAAGCCAUCACUUCACAUUGCAGAGCAGUCACACUGUUCUCAUUCCCUGUUCCACAUAAUAUUAAUGGAAUACGAUUACUCAAUGACUCAUUGAAUCUAUAUAUAGUUAUACACACACAUAUAUCUACCAUGAAGAUGUACAAUAUGAUGAUAGACAUGUAUGCAUACCUUGAAGCUGAGACUUCUUCUGGUCUCUGGUGCUUGGCUGCUGGUUGAAGACCUUGGCAGCUUUCCUGAAUGGGGUUGUGAUGGUCUUCUUCCAAGAAGCCAUAUAGAUGAUGAUGAUGAUGAUGCUUUUGAACUGGUAUUGUAUUGUAUUGUAUGAAUGUUUUGUGUUGCACAGCCUUUCUGUCUGAGCCUUAUUCAGCUUUUGCUGUAGAAGGUGAUGCUGAGGAUUUGUAUAUAUAGUGGGGAGGGUGAAGAAAGAGAGGGGCAAGAUCCGUGAGAUGGGGUACGAUUAGAAUAGAGGAACAUCACUCACUUGGUUAAAUUUUCUUUUCUUUUUUUUCUUAUCUUCAUUGAAGGUCGCCGACUGCACCAAAGCACAUGGCGCACGCUCCCACAAGGCUUAGAAUUGGAGGGAAGGGGGAGACCCUCAACACGUGAAACCCUUUACUUUUGUGAAUGUGACGUAUAUUAUGGGAUUUGCAUAAUCACAUAUAUAUUGCCCAUCUUACUCUUCUUCUUUCUCUUUCAGUGUUUGUCACAUAAGUUACAAACUUGCCUUUUCACCAAGACAAACACUACCCCAUCUCAUCAUCAUAGACACCCUUCACCUAAUUGUGGAGAUCAUUUGGUCGCUUUUGUUCAAAUUGUGUGGCUUUGAGCAUAAUUUGACAAAGUUAUUUCCAAACGUUUGAAACGAAAUCCACAUAGAAUAAUAUUACUGUGGUGUCAAGCAUUGUAGUAACUAGUGUUGAAGGUGAGUACAAGGUCGAUGUCUCCUUGAUAGUGAGGUGAGAAGAAUAUCGAUGUGAGAUUAUAUCAUUCGUAAUCAUUACUCAGUGGUCGGUAGUAGAACAAUUGAGAUUGUAGUCAAUGCAUGUGAUUGUUCAAGUAAAAGUAAUAGCAGGUAAAGAAGGGUUACGAUCAAAGAAAACAAGUUACAAAGGUCUUUUGUCAAAGUGAAUUGGAUGAUGUGUGAGACCAUUAUGUCAAAGUGUAGAUUGUUAAAGUUCAUCCGUCAACCAUGGCAAGGAAUAUGUGACUCAAUAUGGGUGGGAAAGUGUAAGGGCGAAAACUUAAUUAGAUUAUUUAGAUACGUCUGUCGUUUGAUUUAUGGUUUUUUUUUAUACGUGAUUUUAAAAACAGAUGUAAUCAUGUAAUAUUUUGAGUUAUCCUCAAAUUACCUUACAAAGAUUGAAACAUAUAAGAGAAUGUGUUCAUCAUCAUUUUCACUUCAUUAUCUCACCCAUGAAGAAAAGAUCGGAUAUAACACUGGUGCCAUUGUUAAAACAUAAUAUACAGGAAGAGCCUUUACUCUUAUACGACUACCUUCCAAUGUUCUCGUUGGAUGCUUUAAUGCCCUAUCCAUGUAUGUUUGCAAUUGGCCAAUUUCCUUGAUCUAUUUUAAGGUAUGUCAGUCUGCACUCACAUGCAUUUUGAAGUCUCAACCCAAACACUCCCAGCUCCCAUUGGUUCCCCCUUCUUCCCCAGGGACAUUUUGAAUCCUGGCUAGCUCCCACUCAUUCAUUACUGACUACUCGAUCCCCCAACCCAGUGCUUCUGCAAAUUAUUCCUGCCCUAGCUUCCCCUCAACUUAAUAGGAGAAAAGAAGGAAUCCCAGAAUAGAAAUACAUGAGUAACAUGACCAGAGGUCCACAAGCAGAGGCCUAAUUAUCCAUUUCACAGGGUAUGUGAUUCCCACAUGUUGUGCUAGGGCACAUAGAGCGAUAUCCAAGACAGCAAAAUCUACCGCAGCAGUGUCUGUUAUAUAUAUGUUCAGCUAUACCCUAAAACCAACCAUAUUGCAACUUGCGUUGUAUAGUUUAGAACUAAUCAGUAAUCUAAUGAUUAUAAUCCAUAGAUCUAUGGUUUGUGCAGAACUAGUGCUACAUAGAUCAAAGGAUCCGCAUCAAAACUUGGACUGGAUAUAAAAUUGAAGCUUAACACAUGAAUUUGUGGAAACGUUGAUUCUAAUCAUGGGUUGACAAAACAAAGCAUUUACACAUUUUGAAGAUACUUGUAUAAUAUACAAGCCAAAGUUUUAGUGUUUUGGUCUUUUAAUUGGUUAUUUAUUUUGUUACAAUGUGAUUAAACAUUAAGUAUGUUUGAACGUACGUUCUUGGUUCUUUACGUUUCAAUUUUUUGAUUAAUCAUCUCCCCCUAUAGAUACGUGACUUGAUUCAUAUACUUCACGAGUUCAAGUUAUGGGCUGUUGCAAAUUGCAAAAAUUGGUGGAAAUAGGGAGAGAAAUUAUGGCUUUGAUUAAAGAUUAAAGGUUGAUGAAAGAUUGAAAGGUCAAGACAGUUAAUUACCAACUAGAUGUUAAUACAAGAGAAUCAUACCAGUAUAAUGUUACUGCAUGUAUGUUAAUUUAGAGAAACCAUCAUUGAUCAUUGAUGAUCGAGUUAGUAAGAGCGUAGUUAGGUGGAGAACCUCAUAUUCAAGUUGAAUCCCUCAAAGUUUAUUGGAUUCUUGGUGACCAAAUUAAGAGAAGGAAACGUUCUAGCAUACCCAGGUUCGAAUCAUGUCGUAGUUGAUUGAAGUUAAAUCACAUGCAAUCUAUUCUUGGUGGUGAAGGAGAAAGAAACGUUUUGACAUUCUCAGGUUUGAGUAAUGUUGAAGUUGGUCGGAGUACUUAAAUUAAAUCACAAUCUAUUCUUGGUGGUCAAGGGUUAGGAAAUUUAUUAGCAUGACUUUCUGACACGGACUAGUCUUUCGGUCUAAAAAAAUCUUUAAGAAAACUGUGUUCUAAGAAAAAAAAAAUUAUUUAGAGAAUUUUAUCAUUUCCUAGAAUGUGUACGUGAUAAACAAUAUUUUGUAAUCAUUACAUUUACUUAUUUUCAAUGAAAAUAUUGCCAUUUUUCUUCUAGCUAGUAAUGUAAUAAGAAAACAUAAAUCUAAUGACUGAAAAACUCAAGACAUUGUCUCGGUAUCAUACUUAAAUUUUUCGGUUCGUUUAUAAUGCUAUCAUGCAACUCGAAGUCUCCAACUCUCAAGGCAAUUGUUAGAUUAUUAUUGCCAUUAACAUGCAAUAUUGAUAUAUCUUCUUUGCAAUGUGAAUUCUUUUCUAGCAAAACGAGAGGGUCAUGUUGCCAACAUUGUAAGAAAGAUCGAGAAGAAUUAUAAAACCAAGUCAAUCAAGGUCUACCUUACCCUCAUUGGGCUCUUAAAAUAAACUGUUAUAGAAACUCAAAAAUGCUCUGUGAUGUCUGACAUGGUCUGAACACUUCUCAUGAUAAUGUAUAGUUCAUGCAGUGAAAUGUGAAAUGCAUCCCCCUUCCAUCUUAUUCCUAGCUCAUUCUCUCUUCUCCUCCAUAUAUCUUUUCUGUCAUUUCAAGUUAACUCAUUAGUUAAUUUAGCCUGUGUAUUAUUCCAACCCACACAUGCUCGAUCAAUGGCAGUUUGUAUAUAUGAGAUAAAUGAUUGAAUUGUUUAGAUGAAUGGAUCUUUGAUCUGUGAUUCAAUAAUAACUAACAAGGAGGCAAGUAUGGUGGUGGAUAGUUUCACAUGUAGACAGUCUGCGUGUUAUUUGGGCACUCAUCAAUUUAUUAUGGUCGGUUUUAUUUAGAAUCUUACUGAUAAAGACGUAAAUUAUUGAAGAUCCAACAGUACAAGUAUAAUGCUACGCAUAAUGCUUGUGUCCUAGCACUGGCUAGAAAAGAAAAUGCCACGAUUGAAAAACUUAACAAACAUAUAAGAAAAACUCAUAUCAUUGGUUCUACGAUGAAAAAUACGAUAAAAAUAAUCAAAGUCUCAAACUCUGUAUUUUUUUAGCUUAACACGUAAUAUGAUUAAUAUCAUAUCGAGUCGUUAGAAUAAACUUAAUGAAAUUUUCAGAGCAAAGACUUGAAAAACUCUAAUCAUGGUACUUAAUUAAGGAUAAGAAAUAAUAGCAUUCGAAGACCUUUGGAGACAUAGGAGAGUACCGAUUACUAGUGUUCUUAACCUUAUUGGAAACAACAGAAGUAAUCGAUCGCAACCCCCACUUGGAACAGAAACCCUAUAUUCAGUAUGGUGUGGUUCAGUUGGUUAAAUCAUAGCAUGGGCAUUUUAUAAGCUUCAACUCUUUUCAUUUUUUUGGCCUCUAUCUUUAAAUUUACGUCCAUUGUUUCCUUGGUCUUUCUUGCAAUAAGAACACCAGAGAUGACCCACUUAAUAAUUGAAUUAAAAAACAAAAAUAUUAUGGUGAUAAUGAGUGGUGAAUGAGAUUUGCUGUGAUCCAUCAGAUUCAGUGGGAGAUAGAUUGGAGAUUUGGAUCUUGUUCGAGUGCCGAUGAAUAAUUAUACGUACAACCAAACCAGUACCCGAAAGCAACCCAAGCCAAACUUGGUCACCCAUUUUUGUUUUGUCCAAAAUAUAAGUGUGUACUAGUUUCUAGUUGGUUCAUUGCCUUAACUUUUAGGCUAUCAGACUCUGUGGUUCGAAGCUGCUCCACACAUUUCUGUUUGUUUGUCUCUAAAGCCACGAAGAGUGUUCCCCAGAAUUUGUCAACAUAGUGAGAUUAUAUUUCACCAAAAGUUUGUCAUCAGAUUUUCAUGAUCAUCAGUUCUGCAAGUUCAUGAAACCAUGCAUGUUUGCAUUACGAAAUAGAGGAAUCUGAAUACGUUGUAUGUAAUGGAAAUAUAUCAUCUUCAAGUAAUUCAUGAACCGACAACAUUCAGACAAUCAAUUGAUGAUAAUCGUUCAAGGACACAGGACAAGUUUACAAAGAAAUCGAUCUAUAUAUUGUCACAUCACCAUCGUCAAGAAACUGAUCUUGGAUACUUGAAACCAUUGCUGAUAAGCGCUGAGUUGGAGAUUCAUACUGGCCCGGUAUGAAUUGCUGCUAGAUGGAGGAUUCAGGAUCACCUUUCGGGUUUUUGACAAAGAUCGGAAUCCGGGUUCCGGCCUGGAAGAUAAACCUGAACCCUAAUUGAUGACAGUAUAUAUUACGUGGUAUAUAUAGUCAAGUGGUGUAUAUGCAUGUAUGCCCAAUAUACAAGACAAUUAAUUCCUAGCCUCCUCUCAUCGGACAUGAACACCCAAUUCGAAAUAUGGGACACAAGGUUAACUCAGAUCAGAAGGAACCGUUUCUGGUACAUAUAAUAAAACUAAUUAUCUAGUUAAUGCCUAGUAUAUUGGAGCAGAAGGUUAAUAUAUUGAGUUACAUACUAAACUAAUCAGCUGGUUUCAUUGAUUUAAUUAGUCAUAUGUAACUGAAUAAUUUUUUUUUUCUUGAGAAUAAAUUAGUUGCCUACGGAUGUAAAUUAUGCAGCUUAGGACUAUCUGAUAAUUAACCAUAUGGAGAACAAAAAAUGGAACAAGAACAGGUGCUAAUAAGUGUGAGCUAUUAAUAAUUCAAUAAAAAUAUCAUUAGAGAAUAUAUAUGGGGUUGCAUUACUUGCAUAGACUAUUUUUUUUUUUGGUUAAUACUUGCAUAGACUAUAAACUUCUUCAUCUACAUAUAUUUGCAUGCAUGUUGAUGUUGUCCCAGAAUGGUGCAUGUGAUCGAUCUUAUGAUUCUCUUUCUCUAUAUCUAUAAUUUUGCUUAAGAAAACGAUUGGAAAAGAAAUGAACACCAAUAAGUGUAAAAUAAAGAAUUUUGGGGGAUCAUAUAUAAUUGGCCCCUGGAAACAACUUGGAUAUAUUCCCCUAUUUUCUGGAGGAGUUUUUGGCUAAUCAAGUAGCAUAUAUAGGUCUUGCUGUGUUGUCUUGUUAACAUUACCAACCAAAUAUAUAUCUUUGGUGGGUCUUCAAGACUCAAAAGUAUCCGAUAAUUUCUCAAUAUAUAAGUUAGGCCUAAUAUGGUGCUGUUCAUUUUUUUUUUCCAGUCGCCGUGCUGUGGAUUUUGGUAGUGUUGCUGUUUAGUUUUCUAAUCUUGGUGUUUUAUCCAACAUUUCAAAGCUUAACAGAUUUGAAUUAUGGAAUAAUACCAACUUGCACGACUAGACUAGACUAGUAGUAAAAAGCUGAGGACUGGAUUCUCUUCAAACGUUCAAACUUUGAAAUUUGAAGCCUCAUUGUUUAAAUAAAUGAAGAAUCUUUGGCAUGCAAGUCUCCAGAUUAACUAAUUCAUGGUUCUGAGUAACUGAUCUGACCUUAUCGAUCGAUUAAUCGCAGCUUGAUUGUAGAGUACUAUAGACCAAAUUGUCUGGGAUUUAGAACCCCGACAGAAUUAAACUAAUAUAAACCAAACUAGGUUGAGCAUAUUACUGUGAAUGCGAACCAUGAAUUAAGGCCUAGUAGUGUUUCAUGCAUGCAGGUGCAUGGUCUCACUUCGACAUUAUAUAUAUACUCUACUAACAAAACUACUGUGGGAAUCCUAUUCUAGUUAGCAAUAAUUUAUUUCAUUUUUGUAUAGCUAAAGAGCGUUGCGUUCAAAAGAAAGCUUCUAAAUUAACUAAGGACUAAAUGACGAAGCAUGUAAAUUGAUAUGCAAGCUAAAAUUUAAAAUAUCAUUUAUCUAACCGUUUGUUUGAAAGUUCAUAUGAUGAUGAGUUUUUACUUUAAGAUCUUUAUUAAUUAGAAAGAGCCCGUAACUUUAUAAACACAAAUAUAACAUUAUGAGUAGAGACUGUUCGAGAUAUUUUAGUAAACGGUAAUAUUCAUAUAUAGUUAGAUAGAUGAUCUUACUUUUUUAAUUUUUUUUAUAUUGAAAUAGAUGAUCUACUUUGAUACUUUUGCAUAGCAUAUGAAUUAAAAUAAUUGUUUGGGUAAAAUAUUGUAUAGUUCUUAAGGUUUAAAAUUAAUAUAUGUUUAGUCCUUAUGAUUUUAUUUUAAUUUGAAUAGUCUUUAAAGUCAUAAUUUUUCAUCCAAAUAGUAUUUAUGAUUUUAUUUUAAUCUGAAUAGUCCUUAAAAUUAUGAUUUUUCAUCCAAAUAGUCCCCUUAUGGCUUUUAACUGAGAAAAUUAUUGGAAUGAUUAUUUGGAUGAAAAAUCAUGAGUUUAAGGACUAUUCAGAUUAAAAUAAAACAAUAUUUAUUUUAAGGACUAUUCAUAUUUACUUUAAGGACUAUUCAGAUUAAAAUAAAACCAUAAAGACUAUUUAGAUGAAAAAUUAUGACUUUAAGAACUAUUCAGAUUAAAAUAAAAUCACAAAGACUAAACAGAUAUCGACUGCAAACCACAAGUACUAAACAAAUUUCAAUUCUAAUUGUUUUGACACUCCAAUUAACCAGCUCCAAAGAACUAGUUGCAUGGUGGAAUAUUAGAAAGGUAGCUAGCUAGUCACAAAAGCUCGGAGGGUUCGAGUCCAUCGAUCACUAGUAUAAUGUUUAUAUAUGCACAUGGUGCAUGUAGAAGUAGAACCACCAAAGGGACUUGCGAAAAGGGAUAGGAUCUGUCCAUUCAUAUAUACAUUUAGAUGGUUCACCUUCACUAAUGAGUUAGAAAAGAAACAGAACCCGGCCAGGUGAGAAUCGAAAGAGAGAGAAGUUACUUUUAGCCUGCAGUGUUUCACUGAAAUGGACAGAGAGAAACUCAGAAACAAAUUAGAAUCCUUAAAGAGUUAGUUAAUUUUAGCAAUAAGCUGGCUUCUUCAGCAAUACUGGUUCUUCAGUCUUUACAAUAGCAUUUAUAUAUAAUAGGUUUUGGGUUUAGGGUUUAGAGUCACUUUUUAAUAUGUCUAUUUUGCUUGAUUCAGUAGCCAUGAGUUGGAGGCCAUAAGCAUUAGGUUCCUUUACCAUUAACUUUAAGAAACAAAACCAGGGGCACUGUUAUUCUUUCUUGAAUUGAGAGUAGCCAUUUUUUUUUUUGAGAAGAAAAAAAAAUUUAACAACUAGGCGCCUCUAGGACAGUCAAUAUUAAUAGUAUCUAAAUGUAACGCUUGCGCAGCCUGAGGAGGAAGCGCACCCAGCCAAAUCUUCAGAGAUUGCAAACUGUGCCCGAGAUUUGCAAGAGCAUCAGCCAAGAAAUUGGCUUAUCGGAAGGCAUGACCAAAGUUGAUAUUAUCAAACUCACUAGCAACAUGAAUGACAUCUCUGACAUGGGAUUUGAGACGCCAAGAGACUUCGCAAACAUUCUUAACGCAAUUGAUCGUUAAGAGAGAAUCUCCUUCAACCACAAUAAACUUGAAGUUGAACAUUUUGGCAAUAGCGAGACCAUCUUUAAAGGCAAAUUGAGAGUAGCCAUUGUAAGCAAACAAAGUGGUUGAUUUCUGGGUUUGACAGCAAGUUAGUGAAAAGAUAUGAAAACACUUUGUGUUACACUUAAAACCAUUUCAAGUAAAAUUGCGAUAUAUAAAGCCAUGAGCCAGGUAUAUGAGUAGAAAUUACGGUUCUCUCUACUCUCUACUCAUGCUAAUUAAUCAAGCCUCAUUCGAUGAAUCUGUAACAUCCCAACAUUUUUGAUUGAUAUAUAGAAUAUGCUUGAAUGGUAUUCUUGCACACGUACUGUGUGGCAUAUAUAUAUCAUUACGAACUGAAAAAGAAAAUUGAAUCGGCAUUCUCUUAUUGGAAAAGAAAAUUGAUCGUGCGCCAAAAUGUUGAUUCUGAUUGAUUUUCAUAGAUAAAGACAAAUGAGCAUGAAUCUGCUGCUGAUGUCUGCUUCUUUUUCAUGUAUUAAUAUGCUUCAUUUUAGACUCAAAUUAAUUUCUGGUCAUCAUUGUAAUAACAAUCUUAUGAACACACUAAACUUUAAACAAAAUCGCUUAUCCCCUAACAAACGUUAGAUGCAAGCACUUUGGAUGUAAGCUAAAGGUCCUAGAGGGGGGGUGAAUAGGCCUUUUUCAGAUUUUCGAUUGCUUCUGCAACUGAGGAUAGCAAUGACUUGUGCUAUCCCAGGUUGACAGGGUGCGAGUUGAAAUAGUAAGAGACAGUAAAAUAAACAAUGAACACAAAGAUGUUUUUUUUCUCGCAGAAACCCUGAACUCAGGGAGAAAAACUGCGUGCCCCUAACUCUUGAAGGAUAAAGCUUUCCAAUAUGUAAACCACUUCUUACACAAUAGUUGCUCUAGGGAUACAACAGCUCACUGCUAUCCUACCUAGUCUGAAUACUAGUCUAGACCGAUACUACUGGUUUCUAAGCAGCAACAAAUGAAAGUUCUUUGAGAAGUCUUGUUCCUGAAACCAACUACAGAGUAGGUGUCUCAACUUUGAACACUUCUUGGGUUGAUUGCACUACCAACAUCUCUCAUGGUAUGCAAUGAUGCAAUAAGUUCAUGAAAAGAUUUUUUCGUCCAAGCUCUAAGGUUUAUAAUCACAAGGAAGACUUAGAGCAGCAUGGACUUGCAAGCUAAAGACCAGACUCAAUAAGAAAACGUAAAGCUACUGUUUUCAACAACCACUGAGCAUAGCCAAAGCUAUAACAAUAUAUAGGCAAAAGAGACAUUAGGGAGAUGAUGUCAGCUCAUCCAUCAAGUUGUCUCAGAAAGGGUUUUGGACACAAGUAAAUAGCUGUCAUACUGAAAGUGAUGUAACCAAAGGAGAGUGGACAACAACCAACUCAAUGAGACAAAUAACCCUUUCCAAAAACAAGUUCGAUUCAAAAAGGGAGCAAUAAGGUUAUAGAACCUCUUACUCAGUCCACUAGUGGACCAUGACUCAAUCAACAGCGACUGGUCAUUGAAUCAAGCCUGGUCCAGCUUUACAUUGGUCUAUGUAUCAUAAGAACCAAGUUGGAGCCUUGGACACAAACCAUUUGGUCACGGGUUGGCAUAACAAAAGAUCUCAACCCUAGACUAGUUUGAGCGCCAAGACAAAUGCACAAUCUCAGUUGUCAGAAGAAGCUAGUUUGAAAUACCAAAGAACUUACUAAAAUAUAAUAAUAAGAACUUCUGAAACUUUAGACAACUUGAGGACUCAGAGAACAGGAUAGCAAGCGAAGCUGCUAUCCUCUGUGUAAAACAGAUGAUAUGCAGAUGCAUGAGAUACCUGAGACCAUGAGAGAUGUUCAUUGACUUCGAGCUUGUUUCUUGACAGUAGAGACAGCUCUUCAGGUGUUUUGUUGGGAUAGAAGGACUGCCAACUAUCCUUAUACCUUCAUAAGCACAUAUAAGCACUUACGCAUUUCCAUUCCCCCUCUAUAUAUAGACUGGCAGCUUAAUUAACAUCAUUAAGAAGCUGGAAACUACAUAAACUCAAAAACAUAGAGCAUGAAAGUGGUGUUCCAGCCGCUUUUUCUACAUUAGUUGGAACUAUUCGUGUGGCUUUAACUUUGAGAAUAUAAAUAUGCAUGGAGCAUCAAACUCAAAAAGAAAGACAAAAAGGGAUAUAUGUAUAUGUAAGAGUAGGGAUGUUUGCCACCAAAAGGAGUAAAAGGAAAAAAGAUCACAACAAGGUUAUGUAUAUUUAUGCUGAUGUCGUAGUGUAGUACAUCUUUUACGGUAAAACUUUAGUCCAUUGAUUAUCUAGCUAGGGAUGUGUUGAUUAAUGGGUUAAGUUAUACAAGUUUACUACAAUAUUUGUCGACAGUUCUCGCAUGAUUCUCAGAUCACAAUCGCUACGAACUUCCUGUAUGAUGACCGAUUCACUUCAAGAAAGAAUAACAAACUAAUCAUCAAACCAAGAAAGAAUCUUUAAUCACAUAGUCUACUUAAGUACUGUUUAAUUAGUGCUUGUUUCAGUUGGUGAUUAAAUGCAUGUAUUUCUCCAGUAAAUGUGCUGGUUUAUGAUUUAAUCAGUUACUAACUUUUACGUUUUGAUUGAUCGCUGUUUGAUCUAAAGAUUUAACAGAAUGAAAACCAACAACAUCAAAAGAGAACAUAUUUAAGUACGUACAAAGAGAAACUAUUCUUUGCGUUUUAUUGUCUGCAUUAUGGAAAUUAACUCACAGAUUACUGCACACUUCCAAGAAAAUUACAAGAGAUCGAAGAAGAAGAAGGGGCUGAAGGAAGGAAGCAUGACAAAAAAUAAUGGAAAGUACAAUUAACCAGCUGCUCCAAUCAAUCAAACAGUGUACUACAUUAAUCUCUAGCUUAACUGAUUGAUCAAACAGCAUGGUACUCAGCAUCCGAAACAUGCCUCUCGUAGAACCUUGCAAUGAAAGCAGUGGCCUUGCGGUCGAUCCCAGGCUCAGCAGUCCAACCGCCUCUGUCCUCAUCACUCGGACAUAUUCUUCUUCUGUAACCACCACCAUCAUCAGAGUAAGUAUCGUCGCGGCUUCCACCAGAAAAGCAAGCCUUGAACAUGUUGCAGAAGGAGAACAAGGACGUCUUUCCCAUGAUGAUGAUCUUCUGCGCUAGCUUCAAUUUCCCUAGCUGGUUUUGUUGGCUGGUUUUCUUAACAAGCAAACGUUUAUAAGCCUGUAGUACGACGCAAUGGAGUGGAAUAUAUGUGUCUAUUUAUAGUGCAAGGAAAACCACUAGAUCAUAACAUAUAGGAGUCCAGCUCAUUAGAUUGCCUUUUUUUUUUUUUGAACAGGAGCUAAUGAGAUUGCUUAAGGUUAAGAUUUACAC
This 26785-nucleotide long non-coding RNA is filed under the name Fragaria vesca (wild strawberry). RNAcentral describes it as "long non-coding RNA (FVES_LNC001964)". Lineage: Eukaryota; Viridiplantae; Streptophyta; Magnoliopsida; Rosales; Rosaceae. The record is from RNAcentral.